This is a long non-coding RNA of Oncorhynchus keta (chum salmon), 525 nucleotides long. RefSeq lists it as uncharacterized. The transcript is spliced from 3 exons. NCBI's taxonomy places the organism in Eukaryota, Metazoa, Chordata, Actinopteri, Salmoniformes, Salmonidae. The record is from RefSeq and is a predicted model, not a curated record.
AGAACAGCCAGCAGGGUGGAACAGGGUGUACCUCUCCUUUAGCAAAGAGCAGCAUGCCAAUCAUGGUGAAGAGGCAGAGGUGGAGGGCCAGGAGCAGGAUAACACUGGGAGAGAAAGGAGCUAGCUCAUGCAUCUGUAUCCAUUGUGGAGGUGAAGACUUUGAGGGAGGCUGCCAUUUAUCAAACUUCGAGUCUAACUUCCUAUUCCCCACCUUCAUGGAGAAGCUGGACCAUUACAAAACCGCUGUCCUUGUUCAAGAUGUAACGUUAUUUAUAUUUUCAAAUGUAAACUUUAUUAUACUAGUCAAUAUGAGAGGAGGUGGAAAUGCUACAGGGUAUGCGCUAAUGAUACAGUCACAUUACAGUCAAUAAUUACAUGUUGGAGACAAUUUUGUUAAUUUGAUUGACUGUAGUUGUUAUGUUCUGUUAAUUACUGAUUAAGGAUGGAGCACGCUUGGUCAUGGCAGUGUUGUUCUAUGUUAUUCUGGUACUAACUCGUUUGAGUAAAUGUGAAGCUCCAAUUCAA